Molecule: ribosomal RNA, 429 nt
Filed under: Acidobacteriota bacterium
Lineage: Bacteria; Pseudomonadati; Acidobacteriota
Description: Acidobacteria bacterium partial 16S ribosomal RNA
Rfam family: Bacterial small subunit ribosomal RNA
Source: RNAcentral
UGGGGAAUUUUGGACAAUGGGGGAAACCCUGAUCCAGCCAUCCCGCGUGUGCGAUGAAGGCCUUCGGGUUGUAAAGCACUUUUGGCAGGAAAGAAACGUCAUGGGUUAAUACCCCGUGAAACUGACGGUACCUGCAGAAUAAGCACCGGCUAACUACGUGCCAGCAGCCGCGGUAAUACGUAGGGUGCAAGCGUUAAUCGGAAUUACUGGGCGUAAAGCGUGCGCAGGCGGUUCGGAAAGAAAGAUGUGAAAUCCCAGAGCUCAACUUUGGAACUGCAUUUUUAACUACCGGUCUAGAGUGUGUCAGAGGGAGGUGGAAUUCCGCGUGUAGCAGUGACAUGCGUAGAUAUGCGGAGGAACACCGAUGGCGAAGGCAGCCUCCUGGGAUAACACUGACGCUCAUGCACGAAAGCGUGGGGAGCAAACAGG